This 443-nucleotide ribosomal RNA is filed under the name uncultured Peptococcaceae bacterium. RNAcentral describes it as "bacterial SSU rRNA". It matches the Rfam family "Bacterial small subunit ribosomal RNA", at positions 338 to 795 of the family's 1533-position model. The record is from RNAcentral. Lineage: Bacteria; Bacillati; Bacillota; Clostridia; Eubacteriales; Peptococcaceae.
CCUACGGGGGGCUGCAGUGGGGAAUCUUCCGCAAUGGGCGAAAGCCUGACGGAGCAACGCCGCGUGAGUGAGGAAGGCCUUCGGGUCGUAAAACUCUGUCUUCAGGGAAGAAAAAAAUGACGGUACCUGAGGAGGAAGCCCCGGCUAACUACGUGCCAGCAGCCGCGGUAAAACGUAGGGGGCGAGCGUUGUCCGGAAUUACUGGGCGUAAAGGGCGCGUAGGCGGUUAUUUAAGUCAGAGGUGAAAACUACCGGCUCAACCGGUAGCCUGCCUUUGAAACUGGAUGACUUGAGGGCAGGAGAGGGGAGUGGAAUUCCCAGUGUAGCGGUGAAAUGCGUAGAUAUUGGGAGGAACACCAGUGGCGAAGGCGGCUCUCUGGCCUGUUUCUGACGCUGAGGCGCGAAAGCGUGGGGAGCAAACGGGCUUAGAUACCCCGGUAGUC